RNAcentral lists this ribosomal RNA (983 nucleotides) under metagenome. RNAcentral's name for it is "bacterial LSU rRNA". It matches the Rfam family "Bacterial large subunit ribosomal RNA", at positions 1942 to 2925 of the family's 2925-position model. The record is from RNAcentral.
AUAACGGUCCUAAGGUAGCGAAAUUCCUUGUCGGGUAAGUUCCGACCCGCACGAAAGGUGUAACGAUUUGGGCACUGUCUCAACGAGGGACCCGGUGAAAUUGAAGUACCUGUGAAGAUGCAGGUUACCCGCGACUGGACAGAAAGACCCCAUGGAGCUUUACUGUAACCUGACAUUGGGUUCUGAUACAUCACGUACAGGAUAGGUGGGAGGCAUGGAAGCGAGGACGCUAGUCUUCGUGGAGCCGCCGUUGGGAUACCACCCUUGAUGUAUCGGAAUUCUAACCGUAGGAGUAACGAAACUCGGGACAGUGUCAGGCGGGCAGUUUGACUGGGGCGGUCGCCUCCCAAAGAGUAACGGAGGCGCCCAAAGGUUCCCUCAGCGCGGCCGGAAAUCGCGCGAAGAGUGUAAAGGCAGAAGGGAGCUUGACUGAGAGCCAAACACGGCAAUCAGGUACGAAAGUAGGGCUUAGUGAUCCGGUGGCAUCCAAGUGGAAGGGCCAUCGCUCAACGGAUAAAAGCUACCCUGGGGAUAACAGGCUAAUCUCUCCCAAGAGUCCAUAUCGACGGGGAGGUUUGGCACCUCGAUGUCGGCUCAUCACAUCCUGGGGCUGAAGUCGGUCCCAAGGGUUGGGCUGUUCGCCCAUUAAAGUGGUACGUGAGCUGGGUUCAGAACGUCGUGAGACAGUUCGGUCCCUAUCCAUCGCGGGCGCAAGAGAUUUGAAGGGGGCUGCUCCUAGUACGAGAGGACCGGAGUGGACGAACCAAUGGUGUACCAAUUAUCUCGCCAGAGGUAUAGUUGGGUAGCUACGUUCGGAAAGGAUAAACGCUGAAAGCAUCUAAGCGUGAAACCAGCCUUAAGAUGAGAUCUCUCAUAGAGUAAUCUAGUAAGACACCUUGGAGAAGACGAGGUUGAUAGGUCGGGAGUGUAAGUACAGUAAUGUAUUCAGCGGACCGAUACUAAUAUGUCGAGGGCUUGACUUG